Picea glauca (white spruce) is the source of this 102-nucleotide non-coding RNA. NCBI's taxonomy places the organism in Eukaryota, Viridiplantae, Streptophyta, Pinopsida, Pinales, Pinaceae. The record is from Rfam.
UAAGUGGGCUUGAUUGUGGCGAAAACUCCAUAGUUAAGCGCGCUUGAGCCAGAGGCGUCUUGGGAUGGGUGACCACCUGGGAAGUCCUGGUUACCGGGUGCA